GUUUAAUUCGAUGCAACGCGAAGAACCUUACCUGGUCUUGACAUCCACAGAACUUUCCAGAGAUGGAUUGGUGCCUUCGGGAACUGUGAGACAGGUGCUGCAUGGCUGUCGUCAGCUCGUGUUGUGAAAUGUUGGGUUAAGUCCCGCAACGAGCGCAACCCUUAUCCUUUGUUGCCAGCGGUUAGGCCGGGAACUCAAAGGAGACUGCCAGUGAUAAACUGGAGGAAGGUGGGGAUGACGUCAAGUCAUCAUGGCCCUUACGACCAGGGCUACACACGUGCUACAAUGGCGCAUACAAAGAGAAGCGACCUCGCGAGAGCAAGCGGACCUCAUAAAGUGCGUCGUAGUCCGGAUUGGAGUCUGCAACUCGACUCCAUGAAGUCGGAAUCGCUAGUAAUCGUGGAUCAGAAUGCCACGGUGAAUACGUUCCCGGGCCUUGUACACACCGCCCGUCACACCAUGGGAGUGGGUUGCAAAAGAAGUAGGUAGCUUAACCUUCGGGAGGGCGCUUACCACUUUGUGAUUCAUGACUGGGGUGAAGUCGUAACAAGGUAACCGUAGGGGAACCUGCGGUUGGAUCACCUCCUUACCUUAAAGAAGC
Molecule: ribosomal RNA, 601 nt
Filed under: Salmonella enterica
Lineage: Bacteria; Pseudomonadati; Pseudomonadota; Gammaproteobacteria; Enterobacterales; Enterobacteriaceae
Description: bacterial SSU rRNA
Rfam family: Bacterial small subunit ribosomal RNA
Source: RNAcentral